RNAcentral lists this ribosomal RNA (253 nucleotides) under uncultured bacterium. Its description in RNAcentral is "partial 16S ribosomal RNA". It matches the Rfam family "Bacterial small subunit ribosomal RNA", at positions 524 to 776 of the family's 1533-position model. The record is from RNAcentral.
UACGAAGGGGGCUAGCGUUGCUCGGAAUUACUGGGCGUAAAGCGCACGUAGGCGGACUCUUAAGUCGGUGGUGAAAUCCUGGAGCUCAACUCCAGAACUGCCUUCGAUACUGAGAGUCUCGAGUCCGAGAGAGGUGAGUGGAACUGCGAGUGUAGAGGUGAAAUUCGUAGAUAUUCGCAAGAACACCAGUGGCGAAGGCGGCUCACUGGCCCGAUACUGACGCUGAGGCACGAAAGCGUGGGGAGCAAACAGG